Bombus pyrosoma is the source of this 4119-nucleotide RNA transcript. It is a transcript of the gene named ran-binding protein 9, with no coding region annotated. NCBI's taxonomy places the organism in Eukaryota, Metazoa, Arthropoda, Insecta, Hymenoptera, Apidae. The record is from RefSeq and is a predicted model, not a curated record. The transcript is spliced from 10 exons.
GGAGCGUUGCGCAGUCAGUCAAGCAGAGUCCACUGGCGAAAGUAGUGGGGCUGCUCAGGAGAAAGAUGGCCGCUACCAGCGAGGAACCGAGUGUUAUGGAGCCUUCUCAGACGAAUUCCGGGCAAAGUCAGCCCGUUGAUCCACUAAAGAUGCUUUAUCCGAUGGUAAACGAAGAGGAAACACCGCUGCCACGUUCGUGGAGCCCCAAGGACAAGUACAAUUACAUCGGCCUCUCCCAAAACAAUCUUCGUGUUCACUACAAAGGUUAUGGAAAAACUCACAAGGAUGCCGCAAGUGUACGUACAACGCACUGCAUACCAGCAGCUUGUGGUCUCUAUUAUUUUGAGGUGAAGAUCGUUAGUAAAGGCAGAGAUGGUUACAUGGGAAUCGGCUUGUCUGCCCAUGGAGUGAACGUGAAUAGGUUGCCAGGUUGGGACAAACACUCCUACGGGUAUCACGGUGACGAUGGGCACAGUUUCUGUUCUUCCGGAACAGGACAACCUUACGGGCCCACCUUCACCACAGGAGAUGUAAUCGGAUGUGGUGUAAAUCUUGUUGACAACACUGCCUUCUAUACGAAGAAUGGACACCAUCUUGGUAUCGCCUUCACUGAUCUUCCGCCAAAUUUAUAUCCAACGGUGGGUCUUCAAACACCAGGAGAGGUAGUCGAUGCAAACUUUGGGCAAGAACCAUUUGUAUUUGACAUCGAUGAUAUGCUUAACGAACUCCGCGUCAAAACAAGAUUGCAAAUUAUAGACUACCCCACACCAGAUCACGGACAGGGUCAAUGGCAAGCAGUCCUCCACAAAAUGGUGUCAACGUAUUUGGUCCAUCAUGGUUACUGUGCCACUGCCGAAGCCUUUGCCAAUAGUACUGGUCAGGGAUUCGAAGAAGAUCUUAAUUCCAUUAAAAAUAGACAAAAAAUUCUAAAGCUGGUAUUAGCGGGCAGAAUGGGAGAAGCAAUAGAAUUAACCAGUCGGCUGUAUCCGGGUCUCCUCGAACGAGAUCCGAAUCUUCUUUUCGCCCUCAAAUGUCGACAGUUCGUUGAAAUGGUGAACGGCAGUGACUCGGAAAUCACACAGAAUUCCAAUAUCAAUCAAACUAGUGUUAUACAGUCUACGAAGGCUUACACAAAACCCUCGACAAAUGGCAAUGUUGAGGAGAUGAAUAUGAACAAUGCCAUGAAUGGUUCGACCGAACAACAGCUUGUUAAUGGACAAAUUGAAAACGAUGUAGAUAUGGAAGAGAAUGUUAUAAACGGCAUGAAAAGUAAUACCGAAAACGGCUAUCAAAAUGGUGAUUUGAAUACCAACGGGUAUAAGUGUCAGAACGGGGAAGACGUCGAUAUGGAGACCAAUAGUGUUAAUCAAAUUCAGCAACAACAGAAUAAUUGCAAUAUGGAAAAUACAUCGAAUAAGAAUAACAAGAAACAGCUUUGUGGCGGGGAUAAACAGGCAAUCGAAAAGAUGUUAGAAUUCGGAAGACAGUUAUACUCCCAAUCGAUACAUUUGCGGCAACAACACGGAAAAAACGAAAGCAAUAAAAAGAUGCUUCAAGAUGCGUUCAGUCUUUUAGCAUAUGCAAAUCCAUGGAACUCGCCGGUUGGUUGGCAACUCGAUCCCCAACAGAGGGAAACCGUCUGUGCGAGACUCAAUUCUGCCAUACUUGAGUCGAGUAACUUGCCACGACGGCCGCCGUUGGAAGUGGCCGCGUCUCACGCGAGAGAAUUGGUACGGCUAAUGUCACACGCUGGUCUGGGGGCAUGCGGCUUCGCGGUCGUAGACAAUAUCAUUCAAUAUUGACGGUGCCUACCCCUGCUGCCACGUCUGCUUCUUCUGCCGGCUCGAGUUUGGAGGUUUUAAAAUACAACAACGUCUCAUUGAAUCACUCUUUAACACCCAUACAGGAAUCGUUUUGUUUUCUCAUGCGUUAAGAAAGACGAAAUUAUAUAUAUUUUCUCUUGUUUUUCUCAUUUAGUUUCAUAAAUGGUGCUGUAAUUAGAGAUUAAGAUAAUACACAGGUAUUGUGAAUUCGAAUUCUUUGUAUCUCUGUUCCUGCGGUAAUAAUGGAAUACAUAUAAUUUUGUGAGGUUAACAGCCAUUUAUUUAUCGGCAUUAUGACUUUUUCGAACAUAUACGAGAACUUAUGGAUAUGGAGACGGAACGUGGAGCAGAUAAUAUUUUUGCAGCAACAACUUCGCGACAUCGCGUGCCUCUUCAGCUAGAGUCCGGCAGUUGGCUCUCUGACUCGAUCUCACACAGCUACACCUGACACACAAUCGUCUAACAUAAUAUACACGCUGGAGACCCACCAAAAGUAAACAAUGUUACACGGAUGCAACGUGGAUGAGAACGAAGAUGAUUGCUGAAUGAUCAUUAUUCGAAGAACGAUGAACAUUGAUUGAAGUUUUCCAGAGUCCAAACAAGAAAACUGCUUUAACGAAGUGAAGCACGAAAAAGAAGAAGAAAAAGGAGAAGAAGAAGGGAAACGAUCUUAACGAUCACGAACGGACGUGUAGAGAGGAAAUAGUUAGAAUUAACAGUCAAACUUAAGGCAAACGAAGUUCCGUGGACGUAGAUGGCGCUGGUGAUGUAAGAAACAUAAGGAAACAUAAAUACGUUAUUGAGGCUGGAAAUGAGAUCGUUUUCACUAAAAUAAAGUGAUUUUGGACAUGAAAGAGAUUGAUGAUCGAAGACGGUGAACAAGCUUGAGGCGGAGGAAGAUGUGUAAACACCUGCCAAGACGACCCUUUUCUCGUUUCCUCUUUCUAGCCCUGUAACCUACCAUCAUCUUGAGAUUGUUCCCUCGUUCCCAUAAUAGAUCGAGUCGUUUUCCGCAAUGGGACGUGCUUUCGUAUUUUCGUGUAAUUUAUCAACAACAGACGAUGAAUAACUCUCUUCAGGUGGGUUUCUAACAUCAUUCAUCUGGCCUUCCUUUCAAUUAACAUUUUCCUCUAAGUUUCUUGUUUAACCUCACGUUCGUUGCUUCUAUUCUACGCGAUAAAAUCUCUAUUCAUAUUUCACGAAAUUUGCAGUUGCUCAUUCCCUGCUGUUUCGAUCUCGUCAAUUAUAGAUGUUUGGCUAAAAGUUUAGCGACUGAAAUUUUGAUUCCAUUCAAUGUUCAGAAUUAUUGUAGCACUUUCAAACGAAUUUUAUUUUAUUCAAUUUUUUAGCGCACUGCCUCAUUGUAUAUUCUGUUGACUUUCUUUUUACGUUUGCUUCUUUUUGUGAUUAAAACCUUUGACACGAAUAUGAUUCGUCGCAUGAUAGCUGACAACCAGUCGGCAUCACCUUUUUUAUUGAGAAAAUGAACGAGAAAAGAGUCUCGUCGAUGCAACUACGAUUAAUUAAUCCCUCGUCGAUUAUUUUGAUAGCCUUUCUAAUCGUAUGGUCAACGAGUCGAUUUUUGUAUCAAUUGUUAGCUCUUAGUGAAACAAAAAAGAAGGGAAACAUAAAACUCAAAAGGAUAAUAUACAAAUGAAAAGGAAUAUUCUCCUCUUAUAAUUAUCGUAAAUUAAGGUUAGAAGUAACGUGAGAAUCGCGUUCUCUGUUCGACGAUCGUUCUAUUUCCACCUGAUUUCCACAGCAAACGAAGGAAUUAACGAUAAAGCAAUAAUCCUUGACAUUUCACUAUUUUCUUUCCUCUAUUUUUUGAUAUUCGUUUCUCUCUCUCUCCUUUUUCUUUCUUUUUUUUUCCGUAGGUCGUCUUGUAAAUUUUCAUUACUGUCUAAUGUUAGAAAGUCGAUUUAAUGGCCGUUAAGUGUCUUCGUUUCAAUUUUAUUCGCCCUAGGUUCGACUGAAUAAACGAAAGAAAAUGAACAAGAAAAAACAUAAAUCGUGUAUUAGUGAUAUGUAAUUAAGGAAUACAUUGUGUGAUUACGAGAGAAAAUUUGUAAAAAAAAAAAAAAAAAACCAAAGAAAAAAACAGACAAAGAAAAUGAUAAAGAGUGUGUCGAACUUGAGCGACGAAAACAGCAAAAAAAAAAAAAAAAAAAGAAAAAAAAAACAAAUGGGGAAUUAUACGAACCUGAAUGAUUGUAACGAUGAUGGUCGAAGACUAUUGGAGUUAUAUAGUGGAAAUUAAUAAAAAUUAUAUAAUUAAACAGAACGUUGUAAAAUA